GGGGUGUCAAUUCGGGCUGGCCUGGCCCGGCCCGGCCCAAACCCGCUAAGCCCGUAAAUAUUUGAGCCCGGCCUGGCCCGGUCCGAAAAUAAUUUGGGCCUAGAAUUCAAAGCCCGGCCCGGCUCUUAUAGGGCUAUAGGGCUAUAGGGCUUUUCGGGCUUUUGUGGGUUUUUCGAAAAAUAAUUUGUCAUUGUCACUUCC
This 201-nucleotide long non-coding RNA is filed under the name Brassica napus (rape). RNAcentral's name for it is "long non-coding RNA (BNAP_LNC016777)". Lineage: Eukaryota; Viridiplantae; Streptophyta; Magnoliopsida; Brassicales; Brassicaceae. The record is from RNAcentral.